GAACGCCUCUAAGUCAGAAUCCAGGCUAGAGGCGGCGCUCUCUCCUUGUCGGUUGCUACGUGAUCCGUGGUAGGGGCGAUUUCGUUGCGCUCCCGUUGGCAUGUGUCGAUGGCACUCCCUUGUUCCGUUUGCAUGAUGGGGCAUUGGGGGCCAUGCAGUUCCAUUUUGAGCGGUCGGCGAGAAGAAUCUUUUGCAGACGACUUAAAUACACGAUGGGGUAUUGUAAGUGGCAGAGUGGCCUUGCUGCCACGAUCCACUGAGAUUUAGCCUU
RNAcentral lists this ribosomal RNA (271 nucleotides) under Gnetum gnemon. RNAcentral describes it as "partial 26S ribosomal RNA". It matches the Rfam family "Eukaryotic large subunit ribosomal RNA", at positions 3122 to 3385 of the family's 3401-position model. The record is from RNAcentral. Lineage: Eukaryota; Viridiplantae; Streptophyta; Gnetopsida; Gnetales; Gnetaceae.